Zalophus californianus (California sea lion) is the source of this 1228-nucleotide long non-coding RNA. RefSeq lists it as uncharacterized. The record is from RefSeq and is a predicted model, not a curated record. NCBI's taxonomy places the organism in Eukaryota, Metazoa, Chordata, Mammalia, Carnivora, Otariidae. The transcript is spliced from 5 exons.
UUAUGUGGUUGCCUGGGAGACCGGACGUGGGCGCCCGGGCCGCCGCAUCACACACAGCUGAGCCCACAGAGGCCCGGCAAGCGGGCGCCCCGUGGCGGAGUGAGCGGAAGCUGCAGCCUGGGACCCGACGGAUCCAGAGGCCCUUAUCACUCCUCCAUAAGUGAAAUCAGACAAAGUGGAAAGAUGGAUUCCAGCUCAAUUCUGAAGAAAAUGAAUAACCUGAUUUAAGAGAAACUAAAGAUACUUGGGUCUGUUGGAAAACAUGCUUUGUGCCUUAUGGAAAGAAUGUCCUAUGGAAAGUUAUCACCAGGCGCAGUCUACCUAGGAUGGCAAGAUGAUUUAACUGAAUAACAGACAAGACAGAAAUAAGAAAAAAAGGAAGAAAACCAACAGAAGAAGCUGCUUGCUUGAUUUCUGAGUAACUGGCAACACCAGACCCCUGAAUAACUAAACAUGAUGACACAGGAAUAAAAAUGAUGACAGGAAAAUUUCUUUCCUAGAUAUUUGUGCUGCUGUUACCCCAGAGCCCAGCCCGAGAUGCAACCUGCUCAUGUCAGCCUAGCAGGCACUAAGACCCCCAGAUCCCACCUUCACACAGCCCAUUCCUCUCACGCCCACAAAGUGGGCAGAACACAAGCAUCAGGAUAAGAAAGGCCUCAGUGAUGAGGCGACAGAGCAGCAUUUACACAACCAAGACUGGAGCCUCAGGCUUUGUUUCCUCUGAUUCUGCUCCUCCCUGCCCCUCCCCUCCCCCCAAGCCUUCUCUCCCCUCACUGCCUGCUCUUAUUACUUUAGUGGAGUAAGUCCAUUUCAAAGAUCUAUGUCUUUUGUCUGUCUGCUCUCCUACGCACAUGCAUACCCACACAAACACACAAACACACUGAAAAGCCUUAGUAAUCACUCAGGAUUAGAUUUUGCUGAUGGUACGUAAGAAAAUUUCCAUUACUGUUCCUAAAACCAAACUCCAGUUUCAGCUUACUGAGAGUGAAAAAGGGUAAGAAAAUAAUAGGACUAGAGCUCCUAAUAGCUUUUCUUUAUUCCUUCCAUAUGAUCCAAAAAUACCUUACUGGAGGCAGAUUUUUUUUUUAAAAAGACCUCAGUGGGUUUUUCUACACACAAACACAGAGCCCUUACCUUUCAGAAUCAGAGGACAUACUGUGACUAUUCUUAUAGGGAUGUUAUUUUAUUGCUAAUUAAUUCUUAUAUGUGUAUUUUGCCCCAUUACAUC